CUACGGAGGGUGCAAGCGUUGUUCGGAAUCACUGGGCGUAAAGGGCGCGCAGGCGGUUUGGUAAGUCAGAUGUGAAAGCCCACGGCUCAACCGUGGAAGUGCAUUUGAAACUGCCAGACUUGAGUACCAGAGGGGAAAGUGGAAUUCCCGGUGUAGAGGUGAAAUUCGUAGAUAUCGGGAGGGAUACCGGUGGCGAAGGCGACUUUCUGGCUGGAUACUGACGCUGAGGCGCGAAAGCGUGGGGAGCAAACAGGAUUAGAUACCCUAGUAGUCC
This 274-nucleotide ribosomal RNA is filed under the name uncultured bacterium. RNAcentral describes it as "partial 16S ribosomal RNA". It matches the Rfam family "Bacterial small subunit ribosomal RNA", at positions 523 to 796 of the family's 1533-position model. The record is from RNAcentral.